GAUCCUGGCUCAGGACGAACGCUGGCGGCGUGCCUAACACAUGCAAGUCGAACGGGGCUAGGAAAGCUUGCUUUCCGAAGCCUAGUGGCGGACGGGUGAGUAACGCGUGAGUAACCUGCCUUUCAGAGGGGAAGUAACGUUCUGAAAAGAAACGCUAAUACCGCAUAACGUACAGUUACCGCAUGGUAGCAGUACCAAAGGAAGCAAUCCGCUGAGAGAUGGACUCGCGUCCGAUUAGCUAGUUGGUGGGGUAAAGGG
RNAcentral lists this ribosomal RNA (258 nucleotides) under uncultured bacterium. Its description in RNAcentral is "partial 16S ribosomal RNA". It matches the Rfam family "Bacterial small subunit ribosomal RNA", at positions 15 to 264 of the family's 1533-position model. The record is from RNAcentral.